UUUUAAAGUUAACAUGUGCAUAAAAGGAAACUGAAAAACACAAGAAGCAAAGAACAAAGUCAUCCAUAAUCACAAGCAGUUUACAGUUUGACUUCUAGGUCCCAUAUCGAAAGAACACAC
This is a long non-coding RNA of Leopardus geoffroyi (Geoffroy's cat), 120 nucleotides long. RefSeq lists it as uncharacterized. The record is from RefSeq and is a predicted model, not a curated record. The transcript has 3 exons. NCBI's taxonomy places the organism in Eukaryota, Metazoa, Chordata, Mammalia, Carnivora, Felidae.